UACGGAGGGGGCUAGCGUUGUUCGGAAUUACUGGGCGUAAAGCGCACGUAGGCGGCUUUGUAAGUUAGAGGUGAAAGCCCGGGGCUCAACUCCGGAAAUUGCCUUUAAGACUGCAUCGCUAGAAUUGUGGAGAGGUAAGUGGAAUUCCGAGUGUAGAGGUGAAAUUCGUAGAUAUUCGGAAGAACACCAGUGGCGAAGGCGACUUACUGGACACAUAUUGACGCUGAGGUGCGAAAGCGUGGGGAGCAAACAGG
Molecule: ribosomal RNA, 254 nt
Filed under: uncultured bacterium
Lineage: Bacteria
Description: partial 16S ribosomal RNA
Rfam family: Bacterial small subunit ribosomal RNA
Source: RNAcentral